CGAUGGCGGCGGUAGAGGAGAUGGCGGAGGAUUGGGAUCAGGCGGUGGGCUCGGCGAUGGUGGCGGUGGAGGAGAUGGCGGAGAUGGCGGAGGAUUGGGAUUAGGCGGUGGGCUCGGCGAUGGUGGCGGUGGAGGAGGUGGCGGAGAUGGCGGAGGAUUGGGAUUAGGUGGUGGGCUCGGCGAUGGCGGCGGUGGAGGAGGUGGCGGAGAUGGCGGAGGAUUGGGAUUAGGCGGUGGGCUCGGCGAUGGUGGCGGUGGAGGAGAUGGCGGAGAUGGCGGAGGAUUGGGAUUAGGCGGUGGGCUGGGCGAUGGUGGCGGUGGAGGAGAUGGCGGAGAUGGCGGAGGAUUGGGAUUAGGCGGUGGGCUCGGCGAUGGUGGCGGUGGAGGAGAUGGCGGAGAUGGCGGAGGAUUGGGAUUAGGCGGUGGGCUCGGCGAUGGUGGCGGUGGAGGAGAUGGCGGAGAUGGCGGAGGAUUGGGAUAGGCGGUGGGCUCGGCGAUGGUGGCGGUGGAGGAGAUGGCGGACUCUGGCCCCACGAUUGGGAUCGGUUACGAGUGUUGCCUGGUAAGGUGUUGAUUCAUUAAGGCAUGUAAUCCCUAAGACCGCAAUCGUCUGCAGCUGGUAGCGUUGUAUCGUGUACGACAGAGUGAUGUUGAUGACUUGUCGACUACAGCCGCUGGCAUCCAGUCCUGUCAGGUUCACCUGUGUAUAUGCAUGAAUGGGGAAUGGGACACCGUGGGUACACCGUGCCAGGCGCAGAUAUAUCGUCCAGAUAAAAGGUACUGUUUGAUAC
RNAcentral lists this long non-coding RNA (791 nucleotides) under Volvox carteri. RNAcentral's name for it is "long non-coding RNA (VCAR_LNC002142)". Lineage: Eukaryota; Viridiplantae; Chlorophyta; Chlorophyceae; Chlamydomonadales; Volvocaceae. The record is from RNAcentral.